AUUUUCCAAUUUUUAGACAUUUUAUUUUCACAAUGUACUACUGUUUUAUUUUUUCCAUGUUUAAAUCACAAUUAUCCAAUGUUCCUCCAUUUUCUCCCAGCACUCCACUACAACCACAAACUCAUGAGCAAGUUGACUAUUUGGACUGGAGGAUUAAGAGUGAGGAAACAUCUUCCUGCUGCUAAUAAUGCAAACUGCUCCUGAUUUAUAGCUUCAAAUACUUUAGCCAGCAAACAUUCAUGGAAUCACAUCUGCAUGCCAAGCACAGUGUUAAGGUAAGAUGCCAGAGGCUUCCAUUCCAAGGUUUUCAUGGCCUACUGAGGAAGAUAGAUAGAAAUAAUAGCAACUUAAUAAUAUCUGCAAAUGAAUAGUAGCCCAGAAGAAGUAGUGGUUAGCUCUGUUGGUGAUGAGCAGGUGGUAACAGGAUCAGGUUUCACAAAAAAAGUCUUUCAGGGGAAAGUUGUCUUAUUCACAGCAAUAUUCUCAGGCACCUAGUCUAGUACCUGGUACAUAGCAGGCAGUUGUAAUUGACACAAGUAAGGCAGCUUUCUCCCUCACAGAGAUUCCUCUGAUAGUCAGGUCAUGCAAUUCUCCUACCUUAACUUCCACCAUCUACUUCUUCCUUAGCUGAAUGAUCCAAAUGUAUAAACAUUUUACUCCUAUUGGGCCAAUUGUAAUACCCUAUCCACUGCUUGGCUCAAGAAGAAGCAUAUGACCCAAGCUGGAAAACCUAGGAUUCUUCUCUGUUACUCAUUUAUUCGUUUUUUAACUUUGGUUGGGAGAAGAAAGCCCUUUCCUUUCAAAUUCUCACAGCUCAUACCCAACACCUAACAGAGAUAAAUAUUUAGUGGGUUCUCAAUGUAUGUUUGUUGAAAAAAUGAUUGUAUGAUGAGGAAGCUGUUGGGGUGCGAAUGUGGAACCUCCAGUAAUUAGGUUCACCACCUCAUGGAGAAACCAUUCUAGGAAAAGGAUGUUGAGAGGUGGAGAAGGAAAAAGAGAGAGAGAGAGAGAGAGUCUCAAAGGCAUGUGUAAGCCCAGGUCUGUCAUUCUCAAUACCCUCUCAACUUCUUGUGUUCCCCAGUAAAAUGUUUCCAUAAACUAAUUCAAGUUAUUAGCACCUGGGAGAGUCCUAACACAUUAUUCAAUAGAACUGGUUGAGAAAUUGGCUGAUGAUUGAAUGAAUGAAUGAAUGAAUGAACGGACAGAUGAAGCAUGUCUCUUCAGAGGGCACAGAGACCCCAAACAAGCAGGUGUGCCACACUACGGUGUGCUAGAUAUGAUAUUUUAACCACAGCAGAUUUUCACCUUCUCCAUGUAUUGCAGGAGCCAGCGAGGGAUAAAUAAAACUUCCCAAACUUCCUUGAAGCUAGAAGUC
RNAcentral lists this long non-coding RNA (1375 nucleotides) under Felis catus (domestic cat). Its description in RNAcentral is "lncRNA (ENSFCAG00000047677.1)". The record is from RNAcentral. Lineage: Eukaryota; Metazoa; Chordata; Mammalia; Carnivora; Felidae.